Molecule: long non-coding RNA, 2461 nt
Filed under: Homo sapiens (human)
Lineage: Eukaryota; Metazoa; Chordata; Mammalia; Primates; Hominidae
Description: PREDICTED lncRNA (TCONS_00214699)
Source: RNAcentral
CAACAAUUCUAGGAGUCAGGUUCAAUUGUUAUUGCCAUUUGAUAGAUGAUGAGGGCAAUGAGUCUUAGAGAGGUUAAAUAAUUUGCUAAAGGCCACACAGCCUGUAAAGUGGCAGAAGCUGGGACCAUCCAACUCUAAAGCCCACAUUCUUAGACAUUAGGGGAUAUUGAAUGAAGUGUGUGUAUGUAUGGGGGAAUUUAAGAGAAUAUCAAACCAUUUGUAGAGUUCUACCCAAUAUAGAGACCUUAUCUAAUGUAAGAGAACUCUGAAGACAUCUCAUUGAUUGAAUGCUCUCCCCUUCAUAGCAACUUCUUCUGCGGCUUCCUUGCCUGGUGCUCCAGUCUUUGAGGGAAGCACGGCUGGCACGUUCUUCCGUUUGGAGACAUGGUUGACAAUUUCUCCAUAAUGGGGACACAACUGGCAAUUUUCCUACAGAGUGAGGCAGAUGGCAAUUUUCCUUCAGAGACAUGCAGGCAACAGUUUUGCCCCUGGAGAGAAAAGCCUCGCCGAUUGAGAUGCAGCCAGUAAUUUUUACUAUACAGAAGACACAUCCAAUAAUUUUGCCCAGUGAGAGAAACGGCCAACAAUUUUCCCACAGAGGACAGGAAAAACAGACCAAAAAUUCAUAGUGGGGAGAAGUGAGGAGCAAAUGGGCUGGUAUGACCAAGAAAGACUUAAUAAGAAGCUGAGCCUUAAAUGAUCAAGAAGCACUGGAUAGAUAAGAGGAAUAAUCAUUUAUUAGCCAAGCGGGACUGGUGCCUUUUUGAGAACUGUCAUUCUGGAAAGAUAUUGAUUGAAGGAGGCCUCUGAGCACAUUCUCUCCAGCAGGCAGCCGUAAGGGAGGCGGCUGCAGUCCAGACAAGAUGAUGAGUUGGCAGUGAGCAUCUCGACAGGAGCCUAAUGAAGAAAUCUGGUAGCUUUGUGCAGUUACUCCAAGAGAAGCCCGAACUCCCUGGGGAGCCUCUGCCCAGGUGGAAGAGCUCUCGAGUGGCUAUUAUUAGGGGUGAUUGCUGGGAAGCUGGUUGCCAUGGCACCGCAGAGGCCAGUGCUGAACUCCCAAGCUGCCCCGUUUCCAAGGCUGUCUACAUAAUCACUGCAAUGAGAGGCACAGGCACAGAAAGGGAGAGAGGAGCAGCUCCCCACUGACAGUGAUCUCCCUGCAGAGCAAGGUUCCUGGAGUUUGCAAACAUCGAGUAGUGAUAGUCUUCCAUCUGCCAGGCACUGCGCUAAACUCUUUAUGGAGACAAAGAAAUGAUGCUCAGAGAGUCAUUUGCCCUUGGUCACAGGCUAAGAAGAGGCAGAGCUAGGACGUAAACCCAACUCUGGCUCUAUGGCAUCUCAUAUAGCAUCAUUUUUCCUCCAGUCCUCUGACUAGAAAGGGUGGCCCCUUCAACCUGGUGCUGAGAACAGACACUGGCGGCCCCACACCUCUGAAGGCAUGGUUCCAGCAAAUAGAAAUUGGACUGGCAAGGAUUAAACCGCUGGUUUGGGCUUCAUUAGCUAUGUGAUCUCACCAACCACAGAGAAUUAACCAGAGUGGAGCCAUCUCUUUACAGACUUAACACAAUGUACCGAGGCAAUGUGGAGAACAGUCACUGAAUUUAUUGAGCACCUACUACCUGCUCCAGACAUGCCAUUAACACGUGGGCUAUCCUUCCCUUCCACAGUCACUCUAGAACUUGAGGCCACUGUCCUCUGAUGCAGAGAGAAGAAACAUUUUAUAAUCACUGUAGACAAUAAAGGCUUUAUCUGUUAGCAAGCACUUUUGCUUAAUGACUUGGUCAUGGGGAAGGAGAGACAGGUUGUACUUGGUCCUCAUUUUGCACUUGGUUAGAGAGUAAGAGGCCUUUCCAUCUCCACUGCUGCUCAGGUACUUCCUCCCAGUGUACUCUAGCACUCCCCCAGCAGGUUCUGUAGAAACACAGACCCCAAGGCCUGGGCAGACUCUACCAGAAAAAUACUUGUGUUCCUCUGUGCUCUGCCUAGUACAUGGCUUCCCUGGCUACCUCUCCUACAGGCCUGGGGAGGCAAAGAUGGGAAGUGUUUGUAGGUAUUAUCUACUGACAACAUUCAACUUUAGACCUCGGUUCAAGCCCCCUCUACCUUUGCCUAGAUCUUUGACUUUGUGUAAACAACAUGCUUUUUCUGGGCCCAAUUUUCUCAUCUGUAACUCCAAGUUUAUGAAUUGUUUUGAUAAUAAAAUACUAAAAAAUAUUGAGUGUUUGCUGUGGACCAGACAUUUCAUUGAAUCUGCACAACAAUCCAGUAAUGCAUGUGCCAUUAUUGUCCCCAUUUUAUAGAGGUGGAUACUUAGCUGUACAGAGGGUAAAUCCAAGGAGUUAAGUCCAAGUUACCCACACCUGGGCUUGUCUGACCCCAGAACCAGCACUAUUGACCACUAUGAUAUACAGCCUCUUUCUAUCUUCAUUAAAGCCAAGUUUCCAAGCCACAGGAAUCUCAC